RNAcentral lists this ribosomal RNA (424 nucleotides) under uncultured prokaryote. RNAcentral's name for it is "bacterial SSU rRNA". It matches the Rfam family "Bacterial small subunit ribosomal RNA", at positions 355 to 796 of the family's 1533-position model. The record is from RNAcentral.
UGGGGAAUAUUGGACAAUGGGCGCAAGCCUGAUCCAGCCAUGCCGCGUGAGUGACGAAGGCCUUAGGGUUGUAAAGCUCUUUUGGCGGGGACGAUAAUGACGGUACCCGCAGAAUAAGCCCCGGCUAACUUCGUGCCAGCAGCCGCGGUAAUACGAAGGGGGCUAGCGUUGUUCGGAAUUACUGGGCGUAAAGCGCACGUAGGCGGAUUAGUUAGUCAGGGGUGAAAUCCCGGGGCUCAACCUCGGAACUGCCUUUGAUACUGCUAGUCUUGAGUCCGAGAGAGGUGAGUGGAAUUCCUAGUGUAGAGGUGAAAUUCGUAGAUAUUAGGAAGAACACCAGUGGCGAAGGCGGCUCACUGGCUCGGUACUGACGCUGAGGUGCGAAAGCGUGGGGAGCAAACAGGAUUAGAUACCCCCGUAGUCC